Lolium perenne is the source of this 3270-nucleotide long non-coding RNA. RefSeq lists it as uncharacterized. The record is from RefSeq and is a predicted model, not a curated record. Lineage: Eukaryota; Viridiplantae; Streptophyta; Magnoliopsida; Poales; Poaceae.
UUUUGGUAGCAUAGAUAUAGCAGAGUACACGAGAUAUAAUCCCUAACAAAUCUUUUCUAUCUAAAUAAAUAGGAGAUCCCAUUUUCCUGAACUCCCAUGCGGCCACGUCAUCACUUUUUCUGCACGGUCGUGGCGCAAUUGUGUUUCUCCUCACUCCCUGUCUGCUGCGUUUUUUAAUGGUCCCAAGAAGCCAAUUCUUCUUACGUAGGCUGGACAUCGCCUCGCGGGCUGGAUGGGGAUCACGUCCCCGGAUCGGUUUCUUCGCCAGCCUGCUGCUCUUCAUUCCUCUGUAUGACUAAAUCGAUUCCCCAUCAAGAUUCAAGACUAAUCGAUUCCUAUUCUCGCUUCUCAUCUUCCACAACGAGUAAAUGCGGCAGUAAUUGGUGGAGCACUCUCCUCUUCUUAAGCGAUGGAUCAUCUUCCCCAUCGAGUAAAUGCGGCAGUAAUUGGUAGAGCACUCUCCUCUUCUUAAGCGAUGGAUUUGCUAGAUCAAUUCCCGUCGUCUACAACAGACUGGAUAUCCACGUCUCUGCCUUAGAGCUUCCAUUGAAGCCUCUUUACUGCUGGUUGUGGGCGUGCUCUGUGGCACAUGUUGAUGUUGUUGUGUCUUCUAUCGGUGGAAUCGGGCGUCUCCCACCAUGAAGAAUACUGUGUCUCUACUUCAUCCAUGUACAUGCAGGAGUUACCUGCUGAGAAGGUUAGAUUCUGAUUAAUUCUUCUUAUUAACCUUACUGCACCAUUUGUUUUGCAUCCCUUGCAGUCUGUUUCUGUCCAUAUAGGCAUAUACUGAUGCCUCCUUGAUAGCAUUACAUGUCGUCUUGGUUCAGCACAUGUUCAUGAUUCCUCCAUUGCUGAAUGUCUCUAUUCCUCAUCCCCUCUCUAUCUUGCUACUUCAGCGUGAGAAUUUUGCAAGAUUGUUGAUUGCCAUCUUCAGGAAAUCUUGCAGCCUCCUCCAACCUAUCGGAGAUCUUGAUGGAGUCGAUAUGAACCAAAAUAUUAAGCAUAACUAUGAAGCCCACCUCAUCUAUAAAACGAUGACUGAAUCCCACCUCACGUUGGACGUGUGAAGUGGGGACUCCUAGCUAGCAUCCAGCUCUCCUGUAAGGUCACCCCUAUUACUGGUACAUGUCUAUUACAUAUUUCUUCGUUUUGUAGUACUGAAGGCACUGCAAAGGUUUAAGUGGACCUCUGAUUAAUUUGAUUCCAAGGCAUUUUUUCUGAAGAUAUUUGAUGUGAGACAUGCAUCUAUAGAUACAGUGAAACUCUAACAAUGGAUGUGGUGGCAACAAAGAUUAUACUUAUGUGUAUUUCAUCUUCUUUUUCGUAUCAUGUGUGUUACAGAAAAAGGGAAGUCGUUAUUUGGAUACUCCAUGGUUGUUUGUGUUUAUCUAUAAUAUUUGAAUAAUAUUUGAUAAUGCAGAGAAGUGGAAUAUAAAAAUCCUCAUUAAUUAUUAUUGUGACUCAUAAAUUCCUAAUAUUAUUAUCCUUUUUCUUAUUGUCACUCAUAUGCAGACUGGAAGCGACAAUGGUCACUUGCUUAUUCACAAAGAAUCAAAUUCAAGGUGUCCGGUAGAUGUUCUGAAUUACUUAUCUGUCCUGUGAAAGUGAUAUAGUCUAACCAUAUGUAUUCCAAGUGUUCAGUGUGAUUAGAGAACAUGAUAUUGGAUUAUCAUUUUUUCAGGUACUUUGGCAAGUUGAACAAAUGAUGAACCAUACGGAAGUAAUUCUAUACUGUUGUUCACAUGAUAUUUCCAAGCUAAACUGUACGUAUGUUAGACAAACUGAAAAAUAACAAUGAUGCUAUUUAAGCAAAAAUGGCAAUUUAAGAUCAAUGGUUGCACACUGACUCAGUAUGUGGAUAUGAACAUGUAUGCUGCUCAAAGUAGGUAAUUGCAAUACUAUAGAUGUUUCCCUUGCAGUUUUCUUUCAGAAUAACAUUGGAAAUUGCCCCAUUUCUGAAUUAAAAUGAAUUGAGCCAUUCAUCUUAUCUACUGAUCCUUGCUUUGGUUUCAGUUCCCACCCCCAAUGUGCCUUGAUUGUGUUAUCAUGCCUCAUGAUGCGUCAGUUUAAGUGGUAGACCAAAUUUACAACAUAAACCAACCUGGCACUCUUUGAUAUGGUGUAUAUAUGUUUCUGCAACUAUCAAGCUACUUAGGUGAACAUUGCAUAUCUGAAAUGAUUAUGAUAUUGAUCAAAAGGGCUCAAUUUGUAAGGCUGGGACAGAAUCUGCCAACCAUUAACUUAUUUUUGUUGUGUCCUUCAUUGGAUAGUGUUGUUCCAAACUCUCCAAUUUACAAAUAUAUAUGGGACCAUUGCAACUUUAUGCAAGCUGCUUAUCAGCAUAAAAUACUUUUAGCUCGACUGAUAUCCUCCGGUGCUAAAUGUACAUUGCUACUUUUACUUAACCGAUUCUCCAUAGAUAUAUGUACAUUGUUACUUUUACUUAACCAAUUCUCCAAAGAUAUAUCAACAUUUUCUGCAGCAACGCGCGGGGCAUCAUCUAGUAGUACAUGCUAAGCAGCCCAAGGCACCUACUGUUAAAAUCAACACUCGACUUAACAGAUAAACAUAGAAACAAUAGCAUAUAUACAUGUCCGCUAGCUGGAAUACACUUCAAAAUAUGGACAAGUUCAGGUCCAACAUCUGUGCUAUAGGUGUGACUCACUGGAACAACAGAGCAUACAAUUAUCUAUCGGUAGGCAUCAGCGGAUACAUAGACUGUGAGAAGAAGCAGCAUCGUGUGAUCCCUCACUCCGACCACCUAGGCCCUAGGUUACUUGCACUGAUAAAUGGAGAUUGCGCCAGUCAUCUAUCAAGAUUUUGAUCUGCCUCCAUUUUCUGAUAUUUUGUAAAGAUUGAGCCAAUCUGCCAUCUUCAAGUCAGGGGCAUUCUUGAGAGUGAUUAUGGGAAGUUGCAAAAUUUUGGUUGGGAAGAGUAGACGAACUGAUAAAGGGGUAGGACUUACCGCAGUGAAAAAAUAUGGUUAUCUCUCUUUUUGGCUAAGAAUGUGCAUGGUUAGUAUUUUAGAUAUACAUUCACUAGCUACAAUGAUAUCUCUGAAGUAGAUGGAAACCCAGAUUAAAAAUGGGAGAGGGAUCCUGAUGUCACUGCUCUUGCGGAUUUCAUUAACUCAAUUUUACCAACGUCAAAAUUAUUCCUUUCGUAGAUGGUCCGACUUAUGUAGAUGUUGCUUUUGUUGUUCCUUCCUUGCUUAUGUUGUUCUUGACAUGGCCAUUAAGUGUUUGCUACUAUAAUAUAUUCCUUUUGUUU